CCUACGUGAGGCUGCAGUGAGGAAUAUUGGUCAAUGGACGCAAGUCUGAACCAGCCAUGCCGCGUGCAGGAAGACGGUUCUAUGAUUUGUAAACUGCUUUUUUACGAGGGUAAACGCAGAUACGCGUAUCUUUCUGAAAGUAUCGUACGAAUAAGGAUCGGCUAACUCCGUGCCAGCAGCCGCGGUAAUACGGAGGAUUCAAGCGUUAUCCGGAUUUAGUGGGUUUAAAGGGUGCGUAGGCGGUCGGAUAAGUUAGAGGUGAAAUCCCCAGGCUCAACUUCAGAAUUGCCUCUGAUACUGUUAGGCUAGAGAGUAGUUGAGGUAGGCGGAAUGUAUGGUGUAGGGGUGAAAUGCUUAGAGAUCAUACAGAACACCGAUUGCGAAGGCAGCUUACCAGGAUACUUCUGACGUUGAGGCACGAAAGCGUGGGGAGCAAACAGGAUUAGAUACCCGAGUAGUC
RNAcentral lists this ribosomal RNA (460 nucleotides) under uncultured bacterium. Its description in RNAcentral is "partial 16S ribosomal RNA". It matches the Rfam family "Bacterial small subunit ribosomal RNA", at positions 338 to 795 of the family's 1533-position model. The record is from RNAcentral.